GACUCAAUGUGAUUUCUGCCCAGUGCUCUGAAUGUCAAAGUGAAGAAAUUCAACGAAGCGCGGGUAAACGGCGGGAGUAACUAUGACUCUCUUAAGGUAGCCAAACGCCUCGUCAUCUAAUUAGUGACGCGCAUGAAUGGAUUAACGAGAUUCCCACUGUCCCUAUCUACUAUCUAGCGAAACCGCAGCCAAGGGAACGGACUUGGCCAAUUCACUGGGGAAAGAAGACCCUUUCGAGCUUGACUCUAGUCUGACUUUGUUCUAAGGCAUUAUUGGCGUAGUCUAGGUGGGAGUCCUUAUUGACGAAAUAUUGUGAAAUACCACUACUUUGAUCGCCUUGGGACUUAUUCGGUGAUGUUCCUAAUCGUCCCUCAUCGAGGGACGAACGUAUGUGCUUUAAGUCUUCGACACCGAGUCGACGGACGAGGAACUCCGAAGACAGCGUCAGGCAGGCAGUUUGUCUGGGGCGGAACAUCUGUCAAAUGGCAACGCAGGUGUCCCAAGGCCGGCUCAGUCGGGACGGAAACCCGGCGUGGAGCAAAGGGGCAAAAGCCGGCUCGAUCCCGUUCUUCAGCAGGGAAGGGGACCUGGAAACAGGGGCCCAUCGAUCCUUUCUUUUAAUUCUCGGACCUAUAUAGGUACCGAGAGAUGUGAGAGUCUCACGGGAGAGGUGUCGGAAAAGUUACCGGAGGGAUAACUGGCUCGUGGCGGCUGAGAGUUCAUAUCGACGUCGCUUAUUAAUUUUUCGAUGUUGGCUCUUCCUAUAUAUCAUUGCGAAGCAGAAUUCGCAAAGCGUUGGAUUGUUCACCCACUAACAGGGAACGUGAGCUGGGUUUAGACCGUCGUGAGAUAGGUUAGUUUUACCCUGGUGAAGACGGGUCGUGGCUACGGGAAAACUUGCCCAGUACGAGAGGAACCGUAGGUUGGGACAUUUGGUACUGCGCUCGGUGGGGCCGCCGGUGGCGCGAAGCUACCAUCCCGUGGGAGAACGGCUGAACGCCUCUUAA
Molecule: non-coding RNA, 1007 nt
Organism: Trichonephila clavipes
Lineage: Eukaryota; Metazoa; Arthropoda; Arachnida; Araneae; Nephilidae
Source: the annotation of a GenBank genome assembly